GAUGAACGCUGGCGGCGUGCCUAAUACAUGCCAGUCGAGCGAACAGACGAGGAGCUUGCUCCUCUGACGUUAGCGGCGGACCGGUGAGUAACACGUGGAUAACCUACCUAUAAGACUGGGAUAACUUCGGGAAACCGGAGCUAAUACCGGAUAAUAUAUUGAACCGCAUGGUUCAAUAGUGAAAGACGGUUUUGCUGUCACUUAUAGAUGGAUCCGCGCCGCAUUAGCUAGUUGGUAAGGUAACGGCUUACCAAGGCAACGAUGCGUAGCCGACCUGAGAGGGUGAUCGGCCACACUGGAACUGAGACACGGUCCAGACUCCUACGGGAGGCAGCAGUAGGGAAUCUUCCGCAAUGGGCGAAAGCCUGACGGAGCAACGCCGCGUGAGUGAUGAAGGUCUUCGGAUCGUAAAACUCUGUUAUUAGGGAAGAACAAAUGUGUAAGUAACUAUGCACGUCUUGACGGUACCUAAUCAGAAAGCCACGGCUAACUACGUG
This 497-nucleotide ribosomal RNA is filed under the name uncultured bacterium. Its description in RNAcentral is "partial 16S ribosomal RNA". It matches the Rfam family "Bacterial small subunit ribosomal RNA", at positions 28 to 507 of the family's 1533-position model. The record is from RNAcentral.